This 306-nucleotide ribosomal RNA is filed under the name Triticum aestivum (bread wheat). Its description in RNAcentral is "partial small subunit ribosomal RNA". The record is from RNAcentral. Lineage: Eukaryota; Viridiplantae; Streptophyta; Magnoliopsida; Poales; Poaceae.
AUGCCUUCAAGUGGUGCUUCGGGGAGUAUUCUUGUUGCAUGGGAAUCUGGUUCUCUGUCUAGGCAGAUUAUGGUGGUUCAUGACUAUCAUGUCACAGUUAGGUUCUCAUCUACCACCACCACCAGCUCCUACUUACUGUCCACUGUUUAUGCACCCUGCUUGAACAGUGAAAUGACGAGGUUUUUCGAGGCUGUGAGCAAUGUGAAUGUGCAAGACAACCUUCAGUGGAUCGUUUUGGGUGACUUUAACAUGUACAAAUUUGUGCACGAGAAGUCACAGGGUCACAUCAACUGGAAUGUGAUGUAA